This is a long non-coding RNA of Myotis brandtii (Brandt's bat), 256 nucleotides long. RefSeq lists it as uncharacterized. NCBI's taxonomy places the organism in Eukaryota, Metazoa, Chordata, Mammalia, Chiroptera, Vespertilionidae. The record is from RefSeq and is a predicted model, not a curated record. The transcript is spliced from 2 exons.
UUGUGAACCCUGGGCUGAGCUGGCUCGGCACAUGUGACGCCCAACGCGGGGCCUGAGUUUGGGGGAACUACAGUUGUCAGGUGAAAGGACGCUCCAGUGAAGCACGUGCAGAAAACAAGAAGGAAGAAGGAGCAGCGCAGCCAAUUUGGGUGCCAGAGCAUUACGUGUGUCACCACAAUGGACCCAGAGAAGCUCCUUGUCCCUUCGCUCAAAAGACUGAGAGUUGCCCAGAUGACAGCAAUACGGAAAAGGAAGA